UGCCAAAGUUUCGAUGUAAAAAAUAAUAGUCUAAGAUAAGAUUUGAAAGUAAAAUUUAUAUACUAGUGAAGGUAUCUGUGCGUUGCGGCUGGUCGAUUUUGCAAAAGCAAAUAAAUAAAAGAAGUUGAAAAAAGAAAAAAAAUAAAAGCAUAAAAAUUAAAAGAAAAGAUUAAAAAAUAAAAAGAAUAAAAAUAGAAUCAACUGAUCAAGAAAAAGCAGCUUUAAUAAAAUAGAAGAAGGAUAAAAGAAAAUUAAAGAUAAAAUCAUAAGAAUAAUAAAUUAUGCUUAUAGCAACAAUAAAAGUUGAGGACUAAAUGUCACAUGUCUCAUAGUUCGAGCGAAAAUUUUUAAUUAAUUAAAGUUUGAGAACUAAAGUGUCAUGUGCCUCAUAUAUUGAGCCAAAAAUUGCAUUACAUUAAAGUUCAAAGGCUAUAGAUCACGUGCAUUAUAGCCUUUGACCAAUAGUGUAGUUUAUCCUUUUUUAUAUUUUAUUUUUAUUCCAGACAAAGAUAGUGUUGAACAUUGUUUUGUUCAAUUAAUAAUUUUAUUUGAGGAAGGAACCUGCUAAACUAUCUAAUAAAAUUUAGAAUACAUGAUUAUUAAAAUUAAAAGUUGACCAAUCAUAUUUGGAAUAUUUUGUCCUAAAUGAUUCUGAACGUGAUUAACGAUCAAUUAUAUUUUGAAUAUUCUAGAAGAUUGUGAACGUAAAGUUGAUCGCUCAUCAUACUAUAAAUAUAAUAUUAAAGUUUGAUAUUAAAUCAAAGUAUAUAGUACUUUCUUAAACUAUGGACCAAUUUGAAUUGGCUAUCAACCUUUCAAAAUAUUAUUUUUAGUAUUCAACGUCUCAAUUUGUUUAAUUUAAGUCAGUUAACGAUACUUUGAUUUUAAAAUUUGAAUGUGUCGUUUAUUUUUACAGAUUACUUAGUAUACUUCAUACAAUUUUUGUAAUUAUAAAUUUAUUAAUAUAAUUAGCUUAAACUCUAUCAAUCUUCUCUCUUUUUUAUUAUACAAUUUAUAUCUAAGUGAUAAUAUUAUGAAAUUAAAAUUUAUAUUUAAUAUAUGCUAUCUUAGCUAUGUACAAAAAAAUAUAUAUAAUUUAAAUAUUUUAUUAAGAGAAGGAGAUUUGGUGGGAGAAAACAAGGUGGGUCCCACCCUUGCCUAUAUAUGCCCAAAUUUACUUACAGUGAGAAAGAUAGAGAGGAGAAUUGGAUAUAAAACAAAAACAAAAAAGGGCCACCGAAGCCACCAUUGUACACAGCACUAUGAGACUGCCACGUAGAUGCAUAGAAACUAAAAUGCAUAUAAAACUAGGGAUUCAUAUAUUUCUAGAGGUUAAUUUUGUAUAGAUAUCUACAAAUAUAGUGAAUUAUAAAUAUAUUCAUACAAAGUUCAACUUUCAUAUGUUGUUUCUGUAAAAGUCAUGAUAUUUUCAAAUAUGUCCCUAUUAUUAGAAUCUGUUAGAAAAAAUUAGUUAACUAUAGAUAAAAUACUUAACUCUAGUUCGUUAAUGAGAUGAAUUAACCUUUUUACCUCUCUUGAAUUAAUAGUUGGGACUUUUAGAGAGACAUAUUUAUAAUGGUAAAAAGGUUAUUUUCACUUAUAAAAUAAACAGUAUUUUAACGGUAAGAAAUCAGAAUAAUAUAUUUGAAACAAUUAGGACUUUUGUAGGGACAACAUAUGAAAGUUGAAAUUUAUAAGGAUACAUUUAUAAUUCACUAUGUUUGUAGGAACAUGUAUGAAAUUAACCCUAUUUAUAAUAUAUAUAGAUGUUUUAUCUAUUUAAUUUUUGU
Molecule: long non-coding RNA, 1790 nt
Filed under: Ananas comosus (pineapple)
Lineage: Eukaryota; Viridiplantae; Streptophyta; Magnoliopsida; Poales; Bromeliaceae
Description: long non-coding RNA (ACOM_LNC016601)
Source: RNAcentral